This 502-nucleotide ribosomal RNA is filed under the name uncultured bacterium. RNAcentral's name for it is "partial 16S ribosomal RNA". It matches the Rfam family "Bacterial small subunit ribosomal RNA", at positions 30 to 523 of the family's 1533-position model. The record is from RNAcentral.
AUUGAACGCUGGCGGCAGGCUUAACACAUGCAAGUCGAGCGGGGUGUUGGUGCUUGCACUAUCACUUAGCGGCGGACGGGUGAGUAAUGCUUAGGAAUCUGCCUAUUAGUGGGGACAACAUCUCGAAAGGGAUGCUAAAACCGCAUACGUCCUACGGGAGAAAGCAGGGGAUCACUUGUGACCUUGCGCUAAUAGAUGAGCCUAAGUCGGAUUAGCUAGUUGGUGGGGUAAAGGCCUACCAAGGCGACGAUCUGUAGCGGGUCUGAGAGGAUGAUCCGCCACACUGGGACUGAGACACGGCCCAGACUCCUACGGGAGGCAGCAGUGGGGAGUAUUGGACAAUGGGGGGAACCCUGAUCCAGCCAUGCCGCGUGUGUGAAGAAGGCCUUAUGGUUGUAAAGCACUUUGAGCGGGGAGGAGGCUACUCUAGUUAAUACCUAGGGAUAGUGGACGUUACUCGCAGAAUAAGCACCGGCUAACUCUGUGCCAGCCGCCGCAGUAA